Molecule: ribosomal RNA, 398 nt
Filed under: uncultured bacterium
Lineage: Bacteria
Description: bacterial SSU rRNA
Rfam family: Bacterial small subunit ribosomal RNA
Source: RNAcentral
CAGGACUUGACAUCCCUCGCAUAACCUACAGAUAGGUGAAGCCCUUCGGGGCGAGGAGACAGGAGGUGCUUGGUUGUCGUCCGCUCCUGUCGUGAGAUGUUGGGUUAAUUCCCGCAGCGAGCGCCACCCCUGUUGCUACUUGCUACCAUUGAGAUGAGCACUCUAGCCAGACUGCAGGACAUAAUUCCGAGGAAGGUGGGGAUGACGUUACAUCAUCGUGCCCUUUAUGUCCUGGGCUACACACGUGCUACUAUGGCCGAACCACACGGCAGCGACCUGGUGACAGGAAGAUAAUCCCUAGAAAGCCGUCUUACUUCGGAUUGAAUGCUGCAACUCUCCUGCAUGAAGUCGGAGUUGCUAGUAAUCGCAGGUCCUCAUACUGCCGUGAAUACGUUCCC